Ribosomal RNA from Lupinus angustifolius (narrow-leaved blue lupine), 119 nucleotides. The record is from Rfam. Lineage: Eukaryota; Viridiplantae; Streptophyta; Magnoliopsida; Fabales; Fabaceae.
AGGUGCGAUCAUACAUUCACUAAUGCACUGGAUCCUAUCGUAACUCUGCAGUCAAGCGUUCUUGGGCGAGAGUAGUACUAGGAUAGGUGACCUCUUGGGAAGUCCUCGUGUUGCACCUC